RNAcentral lists this long non-coding RNA (3302 nucleotides) under Homo sapiens (human). RNAcentral's name for it is "HSALNT0388823". The record is from RNAcentral. Lineage: Eukaryota; Metazoa; Chordata; Mammalia; Primates; Hominidae.
CACACAUAUAUAUAUCUGUAUAUAUAUAUAUAUAUGUGUGUGUGUGUGUGUGAGAGUGUGUGUGUAAUGGUUGUCUGCAAGAAACACCUUUAAUUAAUCACAGCCAACCCUCAAAUAAUACGCAUAGUAUAGGACCCUUACAAUGCUACACUCCCAACUCUUCUCCCCACCCACCUUUUGUUUUCUUUCCUUCCACGGAUUCUGUGACAUCUUCCUCUCCUCAUUGACUCUGCAUGAAGGGGAUUCCUGGUGGGGGAAGGGUAGCUGGUGAGAAAUGAGGUAUCAAGAAACUAGCAAAGCAUCUUCUGGCUGUCUGUGGACAGUUCUUGUGUGGUCCCCAGCCUAGUCUCAAGGGUUCUGGGCUGGUCACCCUGCAGCCUCUGUGCUGUGUCACCAGAUUCGGGCUCUGAGGGAAGGGCCCUGGGAGGCCCAACAGAGCGGGGUGCCUUGUCUAACAUCCCCCCGUUCCUCUGGCUGUGUGGCUCAGGAAUAGGCCCAGACAGUGUGUCCAGGUGGUGCCAGGUCACCUCACUGCCCCCUUUGAGAUGGGCCCAGAGGGUUUUGUGGGGUGAGCAUGAAGCUGGGCACCCAAAGCCUGGGGCCGAGUGCCCCUCCCUGUGUCCCAGAGGAGGGGCCCUGACCUGAGAAGAUCCCCAGUGCCUGGCUUAUGGGUGCCAAUGUGGGGAGGGGUGGCUCUGAGGACUGAAGCGGGUCACUGAAAGAAGACAUUGAGCUCCAUGGCUCAGGGACCUUGGCAGUAGAGGCCUGGUAAGCAGAGACUAGGACACUGGGACUUGGUCACAAAAAAUAUGAUCAGAAAGGGCAUGGCCAUCAGAGAGUUGGUCAGGCGGCCUGGUCAUUGAGGGACUGUCAGUGAGGACCUGGUCACUGGGUGCUUGGUCAAUGGGUCUUGGUCAGUGGGGACCUGGUAAGUGGAGAUCUGAUUACUGGGGGCUUGGUCAUCAAGAGCCUGGUCAGUCAGGACCUGGUCAGUGAGGACCUGGUCAGUGAAGGACUUGUGGGGGGGCAUUGGUCAGCAGCGGCCUUGUCGGGGGAGGCUUGGUCAGUGGGGGCCUAGUUAGUGGGGUCCUGGCCAGCCGGCUGCUGGGUGACCUCAUGCAGGGGUUUGUCCUUGGAGCUUGCUUGCCGCCAUCUGUAGUGGGGAUGAGUCACAUCACCCCAGAGGGCUACUGGGAGGAGGAGAUGAGCAGGUGUGUGGAAUCCGGCCCUGCCCAACAGACCUAGCACUUUACACCCUAGCUGAGUCCCCUGCUAAAGAGGGGGCCUGCUCUCUGCCCUCCACCCUCAAUUCUCUGCUCCCCGUCCACAGGACUGCCCCACCUAGGGAGGGCUGAGGUUGGGGAACACCUGUGGACACUCUGAUGCUGGCCACAGGCCCAGGGCCGGGCGUGACAGUGACAAGGACCUGAGUGCGUACAUGAAUGGGGCCACCUGGCCCAGCCACAGAAGCAACACACCAUAUGCACGUGUUCACCCACAUAUAUGUGCACGCUCACAUUUACAAACACACUGCAUGCACACAUGUUGAUGCUUCGGGGGUGGAGGACGGUGACUGUGGGCCCUGCUGACCCAGGCGGGGGCCCAUUGUGAUGGGUGCCGUGAUCCCGUAAUGUCACUGGUGCUGAGUACCCACCCGCCUACCUGGCUGCCUUCUCUGUGUCUGGAGCUCUUAGAGACAAGAUAAACAGCGAUGUCUGGUUCUGCUCAGAGGAGGCUUUCUUAAGUGAGAGGCACAGUUGGAUCAGCAGACUCAGCUGAGUGUGACCUGCUCUGUUCCCUCCCUGCUGACCUGGGACAGUCGCUACCAGGCAGUGCUGGCCUCUGGGCGGGUGCCGAGGAGGGUCAUCCCUGAGCACUCACCAGCAACUCCAUGGGGCGGAUCCUGUCCCCGAAUGUAGCCAUUCCACAGGAAAACGAAGCCCCCUCCUGUAUUGACAGCUGGGAAUUGUGGAGUCCACCGUCCUCCACCUGAGACGAGCACAGGGUCUCCACGAGGACAGAGGCUGCUUUGGACUCAAUAGAAAACUGGGCAUCUUCAUGGUCCUAGAAGGAUCCCAGGAGGCUGAUCCUAUAGAGACGUCUGGUUCCUGACCCCAACUGCCUCCAGGUGCCUGGAACAGCCCAUCGUGGGCCCUUUACCCUCAGCAGGUGGACGCCGUUGGUCCUGCCAGGGCAAGUGUGUGUCUGUCUUAGGGCAUUUGGGAACAAUGGGCCUCUCUGUCCAGGUCCCCCUGUGUUCAAGUCCUCAGGAAGGAGCCUACUCCUGGUCCAGGGCAGGGACUCUAGAGACUAGGGCAUGGGUGGGAAUACUGGAUUUAACCCUUUGUCUUGGGGAGCAAUCGUGGAAUGGGGCUCACCUGUCUGGCCAGCAUUUGGGGGUCUGGUGGGAGCCGUUCGGGUGUUCUCUGGAGCUCUCGGGUGCUGCAGAGCCUUUGGAUGACUUUGUCUUGCAGGAUGGAGAUGGAUGAGCACCCGGAUAUCCUGCCCACCCAGGGGCAAGGCAACAUCAUCAUUACUAAGUAUGAGCAGGGACGCUGAGCUGGGGCAGCAGUGGACACAGAGCAUGAGCGUGUUGACAUCUGGAAAUUCACCAGUCGUCUCUGGGUUGUGUGUGAGACAGAGCUGCCCGUGUCAGUGCCCUGGAGGUGAAGGGAAGAGCCUGUGCCUGCUGCGUGGGAGACUGGUCCAGGGACAGGGAAUCAGGAGUGGUUGGUGAGACAGAGGGGGUGGCCUGCGGGCCCGGGCGGUGGUAAGUGGGCCAGGGCUGUCCCUGGGAGGGGCGGCCUUUCCUGACGGACUCUGUUCCCAUGAGCAUUUGACCAAAACCCAAAUCAAGAACCACAGUCUUGGCUCAGAGGUCACUGCCUGUUUGUACCAAGUCCCCAGCUAAGGGCCAGGACCUGACCAAAACUCGGGGUGUCUGUGGCCUGAGGAUGGUGUGUCCUGGCAUGACCAGUCCAGACCACCAGCUCCAGUUAGUUCAGAGGGUCUCAGCCCCCGGGCUCUGCUCUUUCCUUGCUCCUUCAGGGCCCCAAAGCCCAGGACCCAGCAUCCAUGGGCCGCUGCCGGAGGCCUGGCAGCUCCGCUAACUCCAUCAUGGCUCAUUUGACAGCAAAGGUGUCAGGAAAUAAAAUGUACUGACAAGUGGCUGAAGAUGCUUGGAGACUGGCCAAAAUAUAAGAACAGCAAGAAGGUGACAUGGCGGUUGGGCCUGGUAGCUCAGGCCUGUAACCCCAGCACUUCGGGAGGCUGAGGUGGGCGGAUCACCUGAGGUCAGGAGU